GUCUAGUGUGGUGGGAUGGGGGGAGUGGAAUAAGACAUCACUGUGUAACUGAAUGAGAAGAGGGAUGCUCUGUGGUGAAAAAAAAACCAUUGUGAAGAGGAAUUAACGUGACAAUAUAAAGGGAGCUGUUUCUUUUUUUUUCAAGCUGAGCCACAGACAGACAAGACAGGAGGGCAGAUCCAGCCUAUAGACUUGGGUGGAGGAGGUAGAUUUGUCUUCAAAGGGGUACUUUAAAAGCAGCUUUCGAUAACCUUUCGAAAGAAGGGAGGAGAGCCUUUGGAGCCUUUUAACAGUUUGGAAGCUGGGACUCUUAAUCCGACCAACCACCAGGAAAAAAAGCAGGAAAACAAAAAGAAGAGGAAGAAAUCUGCAACAGCUUUGAUCAACAGUGUUGGGUUUCAGCUCAGGGGUCGGAGCUUCAGUGCCUGAGCUUGUCUGAACUCGAGUCUCCAGAACCGCUGGGAGCAACAGCCUCGAUCCUACUAACACUGAUCAGAUGGUGUCAGGAGAAGACUGUGGCAGACAAACAGCAGCCAGAGGAAGGUA
Molecule: long non-coding RNA, 546 nt
Organism: Callorhinchus milii (elephant shark)
Lineage: Eukaryota; Metazoa; Chordata; Chondrichthyes; Chimaeriformes; Callorhinchidae
Exons: 4
Source: RefSeq, a predicted model, not a curated record